Molecule: transfer RNA, 116 nt
Filed under: Microbotryum lychnidis-dioicae p1A1 Lamole
Lineage: Eukaryota; Fungi; Basidiomycota; Microbotryomycetes; Microbotryales; Microbotryaceae
Description: tRNA-Pro for anticodon AGG
Source: RNAcentral
GCCCGGAUGGUCUAGUGGUAUGAUUCGCCCUUAGGGAGUUAACAGUCUUGUGCCUUCUUGCGCUCUGGAUGUAUCUACUUUGGGCGAGGUCCCCGGUUCAAUCCCGGGUUCGGGCC